Molecule: ribosomal RNA, 427 nt
Filed under: uncultured bacterium
Lineage: Bacteria
Description: bacterial SSU rRNA
Rfam family: Bacterial small subunit ribosomal RNA
Source: RNAcentral
UGGGGAAUCUUGCGCAAUGCGCGAAAGCGUGACGCAGCAACGCCGCGUGCGGGAAGACGGCCCUCGGGUUGUAAACCGCUUUCAGUUGGGACGAAGCUCUGCCGGUUAAUAGCCGGUUGGAGUGACGGUACCUUCACAAGAAGCCCCGGCUAACUACGUGCCAGCAGCCGCGGUAAUACGUAGGGGGCAAGCGUUGUCCGGAAUCAUUGGGCGUAAAGAGCGUGUAGGCGGCCCGGUAAGUCCGCUGUGAAAGUCCAGGGCUCAACCCUGGGAUGCCGGUGGAUACUGUCGGGCUCGAGUCCGGAAGAGGAGUGUGGAAUUCCUGGUGUAGCGGUGAAAUGCGCAGAUAUCAGGAGGAACACCAAUGGCGAAGGCAGCACUCUGGGACGUGACUGACGCUGAGACGCGAAAGCGUGGGGAGCAAACA